This 497-nucleotide ribosomal RNA is filed under the name uncultured bacterium. RNAcentral's name for it is "partial 16S ribosomal RNA". It matches the Rfam family "Bacterial small subunit ribosomal RNA", at positions 28 to 507 of the family's 1533-position model. The record is from RNAcentral.
GAUGAACGCUGGCGGCGUGCCUAAUACAUGCAAGUCGAGCGAACGGACGAGAAGCUUGCUUUUCUGAUGUUAGCGGCGGACGGGUGAGUAACACGUGGAUAACCUACCUAUAAGACUGGGAUCACUUCGGGAAACCGGAGCUAAUACCGGAUAAUAUUUUGAACCGCAUGGUUCAAAAGUGAAAGACGGUCUUGCUGUCACAUAUAGAUAGAUCCGCGCUGCAUUAGCUAGUUGGUACGGUAACGGCUUACCAAGGCAACGAUGCAUAGCCGAACUGAGAGGCGGAUCGGCCACACUGGAACGUGGACACGGUCCAGGCUCCUACGGGAGGCAGCAGUAGGGAACCUUCCGCAAUGGGCGGAAGCCUGACGGAGCAACGCCGCGUGAGUUAUGAAGGUCUUCGGAUCGUAAAACUCUCUUAUUAGUGAUGAACAUAUGUGUAAGUAACUGUGCACAUCUUGACGGUACCUAAUCAGAAAGCCACGGCUAACUACGUG